This 447-nucleotide ribosomal RNA is filed under the name uncultured bacterium. Its description in RNAcentral is "bacterial SSU rRNA". It matches the Rfam family "Bacterial small subunit ribosomal RNA", at positions 328 to 792 of the family's 1533-position model. The record is from RNAcentral.
AGUCCAGACUCCUACGGGAGGCAGCAGUGGGGGAUAUUGCACAAUGGAGGAAACUCUGAUGCAGCGACGCCGCGUGAGGGAAGACGGUCUUCGGAUUGUAAACCUCUGUCUUUGGGGAAGAAAAUGACGGUACCCAAAGAGGAAGCCCCGGCUAACUACGUGCCAGCAGCCGCGGUAAUACGUAGGGGGCAAGCGUUAUCCGGAUUUACUGGGUGUAAAGGGGGCGCAGACGGCAGCGCAAGCCAGGAGUGAAAGCCCGGGGCCCAACCCCGGGACUGCUCUUGGAACUGCGCGGCUGGAGUGCAGGAGGGGCAGGCGGAAUUCCUAGUGUAGCGGUGAAAUGCGUAGAUAUUAGGAGGAACACCAGUGGCGAAGGCGGUCUGCUGGACAGCAACUGACGCUGAGGCGCGAAAGCGUGGGGAGCAAACAGGAUUAGAUACCCGUGUA